This 301-nucleotide ribosomal RNA is filed under the name uncultured bacterium. RNAcentral's name for it is "partial 16S ribosomal RNA". It matches the Rfam family "Bacterial small subunit ribosomal RNA", at positions 509 to 808 of the family's 1533-position model. The record is from RNAcentral.
CAGUCGCCGCGGUAAAACGAAGGGUGCAAGCGUUACUCGGAAUUACUGGGCGUAAAGCGUGCGUAGGUGGUGUUUAAGUCCGUUGUGAAAGCCCUGGGCUCAACCUGGGAAUUGCAGUGGAUACUGGGUCACUAGAGUGUGGUAGAGGAUAGUGGAAUUUCCGGUGUAGCAGUGAAAUGCGUAGAGAUCGGAAGGAACAUCUGUGGCGAAGGCGACUAUCUGGGCCAACACUGACACUGAGGCACGAAAGCGUGGGGAGCAAACAGGAUUAGAGACCCCCGUAGUCCCUGUCUCUUAUACC